AUACGUAGGGUGCGAGCGUUGUCCGGAAUUACUGGGCGUAAAGAGCUCGUAGGUGGUUUGUCGCGUCGUCUGUGAAAUUCCGGGGCUUAACUCCGGGCGUGCAGGCGAUACGGGCAUAACUUGAGUACUGUAGGGGAGACUGGAAUUCCUGGUGUAGCGGUGAAAUGCGCAGAUAUCAGGAGGAACACCGGUGGCGAAGGGGGGUCUCUGGGCAGUAACUGACGCUGAGGAGCGAAAGCAUGGGUAGCGAACAGGAUUAGAUCCCCUGGUAGUCCAUGCCGUAAACGGUGGGCGCUAGGUGUAGGGGUCUUCCACGACUUCUGUGCCGUAGCUAACGCAUUAAGCGCCCCGCCUGGGGAGUACGGCCGCAAG
Molecule: ribosomal RNA, 372 nt
Filed under: uncultured bacterium
Lineage: Bacteria
Description: partial 16S ribosomal RNA
Rfam family: Bacterial small subunit ribosomal RNA
Source: RNAcentral